UACGUAGGGCGCAAGCGUUGUCCGGAAUUAUUGGGCGUAAAGAGCUCGUAGGCGGCUUGUCACGUCGAUUGUGAAAGCUCGGGGCUUAACCCCGAGUCUGCAGUCGAUACGGGCUAGCUAGAGUGUGGUAGGGGAGAUCGGAAUUCCUGGUGUAGCGGUGAAAUGCGCAGAUAUCAGGAGGAACACCGGUGGCGAAGGCGGAUCUCUGGGCCAUUACUGACGCUGAGGAGCGAAAGCGUGGGGAGCGAACAGG
Molecule: ribosomal RNA, 253 nt
Filed under: uncultured bacterium
Lineage: Bacteria
Also listed under: 1 other name
Description: partial 16S ribosomal RNA
Rfam family: Bacterial small subunit ribosomal RNA
Source: RNAcentral